CCUACGGGUGGCAGCAGUAAGGAAUAUUGGUCAAUGGGCGCAAGCCUGAACCAGCCAUGCCGCGUGAAGGAUGACGGCCCUACGGGUUGUAAACUUCUUUUGUACGGGAAAAAACCUCCGGUCGUGAACCGGAGCUGAUGGUACCGUAAGAAUAAGGAUCGGCUAACUCCGUGCCAGCAGCCGCGGUAAUACGGAGGAUCCAAGCGUUAUCCGGAUUCAUUGGGUUUAGACGGAAUGCUAAGGGAGUGGUGAAAUCCUACGGCUCAACUGUAGAACUGCCAUUGAUACUGUCGUUCUUGAGUACACUUGAAGUGGGCGGAAUGUGUCAUGUAGCGGUGAAAUGCUUAGAUAUGACACAGAACACCGAUCGCGAAGGCAGCUCACUAAAUUGUAACUGACGCUCAGGCACGAAAGCGUGGGGAUCAAACAGGAUUAGAUACCCCUGUAGUC
This 450-nucleotide ribosomal RNA is filed under the name uncultured bacterium. RNAcentral describes it as "partial 16S ribosomal RNA". It matches the Rfam family "Bacterial small subunit ribosomal RNA", at positions 338 to 795 of the family's 1533-position model. The record is from RNAcentral.